CACCAGCGCCACGAGUGGUCAUCGCGAUUAUUGGGCCUAAAGCGUUCGUAGCCGGUUUGGUAACUCUCUUGUGAAAUUGUUCUGCUUAACGGAACAGCGUGCAGGAGACACUACCAGGCUCGAGACCGGGAGGGGUCAGAGGUAUUCCGUGGGGACUGGUAAAAUGGGAUAAUCCACGGAGGACCACCGAUGGCGAAGGCAUCUGACCAGAACGGAUCUGACGGUGAGGAACGAAAGCCAGGGGAGCGAACCGGAUUAGAUACCCGAGUAGUCCUGGCCGUAAACGCUGUGAGCUAGGUGUUGCGUAUCCUACGUGGAUGCGCAGUGUCGAAACGAAGGUAAUAAGCUCACCGCCUGGGUAGUACGGUCGCAAGACUGAAACUUUAAGGAAUUGGCGGGGGCGCACUACAAGGGGUGCGGCGUGCGGUUUAAUCUAACUCAACGCAGAGAACCUUACUAGAAGCGACGGCAGGAUGAAGACCAUGCUAAAGACAUUGUCAGACGAGCCGAGAGGUAGUGCAUGGCCGCCGUCAGCUCGUGCCGUGAGGUGUCCAGUUAAGUCUGGUAACGAGCAAGACCUGUAUCCACAAUUGCUAACGAACUUUGUGAUCGAGCACUUUGUGGAGACUGCCUUCGUAAGAAGGAGGAAGGUGCAGGCAACGGUAGGUCUGUAUGCUCCGAAUCUUCUAGGCUACACGCGCGCAACAAUGGUACGUACAAUGGGAUGCUACUCCGAAAGGAGACGCGAAUCCUCUAAAACCUAUCGUAGUUCGGAUCGAGGCUUGCAACUCAGCCUCGUGACGUCGGAAUCCCUAGUAAUCAGCUGUCAUCAUCUGCUGGUGAAUAUGUCCCUGCGCCU
RNAcentral lists this ribosomal RNA (859 nucleotides) under uncultured archaeon. Its description in RNAcentral is "SSU rRNA". It matches the Rfam family "Archaeal small subunit ribosomal RNA", at positions 474 to 1337 of the family's 1478-position model. The record is from RNAcentral.